GGCCUGAUGGUCUAGUAGUAUGAUUCCUUGUUAGGGUAAUCGAGCGCUUUCGAGGAGGUCCCGGGUUCAAUUCCCGGUCAGGCCC
RNAcentral lists this transfer RNA (85 nucleotides) under Dendrothele bispora CBS 962.96. RNAcentral describes it as "tRNA-Pro". It matches the Rfam family "tRNA". Rfam says of the family: Transfer RNA (tRNA) molecules are approximately 80 nucleotides in length. Their secondary structure includes four short double-helical elements and three loops (D, anti-codon, and T loops). Further hydrogen bonds mediate the characteristic L-shaped molecular structure. tRNAs have two regions of fundamental functional importance: the anti-codon, which is responsible for specific mRNA codon recognition, and the 3' end, to which the tRNAs corresponding amino acid is attached (by aminoacyl-tRNA synthetases). tRNAs cope with the degeneracy of the genetic code in two manners: having more than one tRNA (with a specific anti-codon) for a particular amino acid; and 'wobble' base-pairing, i.e. permitting non-standard base-pairing at the 3rd anti-codon position. Lineage: Eukaryota; Fungi; Basidiomycota; Agaricomycetes; Agaricales. The record is from RNAcentral.